AUUGAACGCUGGCGGCAUGCCUUACACAUGCAAGUCGAACGGCAGCACGGGGGCAACCCUGGUGGCGAGUGGCGAACGGGUGAGUAACAUAUCGGAACAUACCCUAGAGUGGGGGAUAACGUAGCGAAAGUUACGCUAAUACCGCAUACGAUCUAAGGAUGAAAGUGGGGGAUCUUCGGACCUCAUGCUCAUGGAGUGGCCGAUAUCUGAUUAGCUAGUUGGUGAGGUAAAGGCUCACCAAGGCGACGAUCAGUAGCUGGUUUGAGAGAACGACCAGCCACACUGGAACUGAGACACGGUCCAGACUCCUACGGAGGCAGCAGUGGGGAAUUUUGGACAAUGGGGGCAACCCUGAUCCAGCAAUGCCGCGUGUGGUGAAGAAGGCCUUCGGGUUGU
RNAcentral lists this ribosomal RNA (396 nucleotides) under uncultured bacterium. RNAcentral describes it as "bacterial SSU rRNA". It matches the Rfam family "Bacterial small subunit ribosomal RNA", at positions 30 to 426 of the family's 1533-position model. The record is from RNAcentral.